This 434-nucleotide ribosomal RNA is filed under the name uncultured bacterium. Its description in RNAcentral is "partial 16S ribosomal RNA". It matches the Rfam family "Bacterial small subunit ribosomal RNA", at positions 29 to 506 of the family's 1533-position model. The record is from RNAcentral.
AGCGAACGCUGGCGGCAGGCUUAACACAUGCAAGUCGAGCGGGCAUCUUCGGAUGUCAGCGGCAGACGGGUGAGUAACACGUGGGAACGUACCCUUCGGUUCGGAACAACUCUGGGAAACUGGAGCUAAUACCGGAUACGCCCUUAUGGGGAAAGGUUUACUGCCGAAGGAUCGGCCCGCGUCUGAUUAGCUAGUUGGUGGGGUAACGGCCUACCAAGGCGACGAUCAGUAGCUGGUCUGAGAGGAUGAUCAGCCACACUGGGACUGAGACACGGCCCAGACUCCUACGGGAGGCAGCAGUGGGGAAUAUUGGACAAUGGGCGCAAGCCUGAUCCAGCCAUGCCGCGGGAGUGAUGAAGGCCUUAGGGUUGUAAAGCUCUUUUGUCCGGGACGAUAAUGACGGUACCGGAAGAAUAAGCCCCGGCUAACUUCGU